UGCCUAGGAAUCUGCCUGGUAGUGGGGGAUAACGUUCGGAAACGGACGCUAAUACCGCAUACGUCCUACGGGAGAAAGCAGGGGACCUUCGGGCCUUGCGCUAUCAGAUGAGCCUAGGUCGGAUUAGCUAGUUGGUGAGGUAAUGGCUCACCAAGGCUACGAUCCGUAACUGGUCUGAGAGGAUGAUCAGUCACACUGGAACUGAGACACGGUCCAGACUCCUACGGGAGGCAGCAGUGGGGAAUAUUGGACAAUGGGCGAAAGCCUGAUCCAGCCAUGCCGCGCGGUGUAAAGAAGGCCUUCGGAUUGUAAAGCACUUUAAGUUGGAAGGAAGGCCAUUAACCUAAUACGUUAGGGUUUUGACGUUACCGACAGAAUAAGCACCGGCUAACUCUGUGCCAGCAGCCGCGGAAAUACAGAGGGUGCAAGCGUUAAUCGGAAUUACUGGUCGUCAUCAGCCGCUAGUUCAGUUUGUUAAGUUGAAUGUGAAAUCCCCCGGGCUUCAACCUGGGAACUGCAUCCAAAACUGGCAAGCUAGAGUAUGGUAGAGGGGUAGUGGAAUUUCC
Molecule: ribosomal RNA, 566 nt
Filed under: Pseudomonas psychrophila
Lineage: Bacteria; Pseudomonadati; Pseudomonadota; Gammaproteobacteria; Pseudomonadales; Pseudomonadaceae
Description: bacterial SSU rRNA
Rfam family: Bacterial small subunit ribosomal RNA
Source: RNAcentral